ACACGACUCUGGAGAGUCCCAUUUGGGCGCCGAAGGUGCAAGGAUAUUGUUUCUAAUCUCUCAGGCAAAAGGACAGAGCU
RNAcentral lists this non-coding RNA (80 nucleotides) under Megasphaera massiliensis. RNAcentral's name for it is "Glycine riboswitch". It matches the Rfam family "Glycine riboswitch aptamer", at positions 9 to 86 of the family's 94-position model. From Rfam's summary of the family: This family represents the bacterial glycine riboswitch. Glycine riboswitches usually consist of two metabolite-binding aptamers domains with similar structures in tandem. The record is from RNAcentral. RNAcentral also lists the same sequence under 1 other name. Lineage: Bacteria; Bacillati; Bacillota; Negativicutes; Veillonellales; Veillonellaceae.